UCACGCCUACGGGAGGCAGCAGUGGGGGAUAUUGCACAAUGGGGGAACCCUGAUGCAGCGACGCCGCGUGGGUGAAGGAGCGUUUCGGCGCGUAAAGCCCUAUCGGCAGGGAAGAAGAUGACGGUACCUGACCAAGAAGCCCCGGCUAACUACGUGCCAGCAGCCGCGGUAAUACGUAGGGGGCAAGCGUUAUCCGGAUUUACUGGGUGUAAAGGGGUCGCAGACGGCAAUGCAAGCCAGGAGUGAAAGCCCGGGGCCCAACCCCGGGCCUGCUCUUGGAACUUCAUGGCU
Molecule: ribosomal RNA, 291 nt
Filed under: uncultured bacterium
Lineage: Bacteria
Description: partial 16S ribosomal RNA
Rfam family: Bacterial small subunit ribosomal RNA
Source: RNAcentral